Molecule: transfer RNA, 85 nt
Filed under: Pseudozyma sp.
Lineage: Eukaryota; Fungi; Basidiomycota; Ustilaginomycetes; Ustilaginales; Ustilaginaceae
Description: tRNA-Leu
Rfam family: tRNA
About the family: Transfer RNA (tRNA) molecules are approximately 80 nucleotides in length. Their secondary structure includes four short double-helical elements and three loops (D, anti-codon, and T loops).
Source: RNAcentral
UGUGAGUGUGUUGAAAUUGGUAGCCAAGUCGACCUUAGGAGUCGGUAGUCUUAGACUGUGUAGGUUCAAGUCCUAUCACUCACAA